This 303-nucleotide unclassified non-coding RNA is filed under the name uncultured fungus. RNAcentral describes it as "sequence contains ITS1". The stretch from base 1 to 105 matches the Rfam family "5.8S ribosomal RNA", at positions 50 to 154 of the family's 154-position model. Lineage: Eukaryota; Fungi. The record is from RNAcentral.
AAACUGCGAUAAGCAAUGCGAAUUGCAGAAUCCGCGAGUCAUCAGAUUUUCGAACGCAGUCGGCGCCGUGGGUUAAACACUUGCGGCAAGUUUGCUUCAGUCUUAUUGAUUAUUACAAAUCAAAAUGUGAUUGAACCUUCGGGUUCUCUCAUCAAACUUGAAUACGACAUAUUUCAAUCCAACGAAGCAGUCACAGUCUCUGACGGUGAUUUCGGUGGCUCUUGGACUAUGACCAGUAUAGAGACGCUAGUCUUUCAAAAUAAUCUUAAGCUGAAGUCAAGCUGGAUUACCCGCUGAACUUAA